UGAGAGAAGGAAAAGGCAGACUUGAGAAGACUAUUCGAACAUUCAUUGGCCUCGUUGAAAGAUGUGAUAUACUGCUACUGAAGUUGCUGGUAAUUUUGAAGAUUUCAUUAGAAUUCUUCUACAUAAAAGCAUCUGUGAUGUGCGCACUUUGCAAUCGCCAUUUCCUUUUUGGAAACGGAGCUUCUUACCCUACAAAAAUCAGCCGAAGUGGCAACGACAAGGAAUAAUGGUAC
Toxorhynchites rutilus septentrionalis is the source of this 233-nucleotide long non-coding RNA. RefSeq lists it as uncharacterized. The record is from RefSeq and is a predicted model, not a curated record. The transcript is spliced from 3 exons. NCBI's taxonomy places the organism in Eukaryota, Metazoa, Arthropoda, Insecta, Diptera, Culicidae.